This 253-nucleotide ribosomal RNA is filed under the name uncultured bacterium. Its description in RNAcentral is "partial 16S ribosomal RNA". It matches the Rfam family "Bacterial small subunit ribosomal RNA", at positions 524 to 776 of the family's 1533-position model. The record is from RNAcentral.
UACGAAGGGGGCUAGCGUUGUUCGGAAUCACUGGGCGUAAAGGGCGCGUAGGCGGCCGAUCAAGUCGGGGGUGAAAGCCUGUGGCUCAACCACAGAAUUGCCUUCGAUACUGUCGAGCUUGAGACCGGAAGAGGUAAGUGGAACUGCGAGUGUAGAGGUGAAAUUCGUAGAUAUUCGCAAGAACACCAGUGGCGAAGGCGGCUUACUGGUCCGGUUCUGACGCUGAGGCGCGAAAGCGUGGGGAGCAAACAGG